Molecule: ribosomal RNA, 474 nt
Filed under: Harengula thrissina (Pacific flatiron herring)
Lineage: Eukaryota; Metazoa; Chordata; Actinopteri; Clupeiformes; Clupeidae
Description: partial 16S ribosomal RNA
Rfam family: Bacterial large subunit ribosomal RNA
Source: RNAcentral
AACAUCGCCUCCUGCUGAUUUUAAGGAUAGGAGGUCCCGCCUGCCCUGUGACCGAAGGUUUAACGGCCGCGGUAUUUUAACCGUGCAAAGGUAGCGCAAUCAAUUGUCUUUUAAAUGGAGACCUGUAUGAAUGGCAUCACGAGGGUUUGACUGUCUCUUUUUCCAGGUCAAUGAAACUGAUCUGCCCGUGCAGAAGCGGGCAUGACUGCACAAGACGAGAAGACCCUAUGGAGCUUUAGACGCCCACCAACCAUGAAAAGCAACCCAGCCACCGGGUCUCCAAACAGCAUGGCCCUGGCACAAACGUCUUCGGUUGGGGCGACCACGGGGGACAGAGAAGCCCCCAGGAGGAUUGGAGGCCUACUCCAGAACCGAGAGCCAUAGCUCUAAGUCACAAAACUUUUGACCUGAAAUGAUCCGGCUUAAUGCCGACCAACGGACCAAGUUACCCUAGGGAUAACAGCGCAAUCCCUU